RNAcentral lists this long non-coding RNA (244 nucleotides) under Hordeum vulgare. Its description in RNAcentral is "long non-coding RNA (HVUL_LNC008340)". The record is from RNAcentral. Lineage: Eukaryota; Viridiplantae; Streptophyta; Magnoliopsida; Poales; Poaceae.
AAAACGUGUGCGUGAGGUGUGCGUUUUAGGUGUGCUGCACCGGCUGUUGUUCCCGAUACGUUAUGUGGAUGGAUUGGAAACAACACCGGUCUUAGAUAUGUGGAGUGAAAGCACUCCACAUUAUCGAGUUUGUAGGUGUGAGUGGUGGUUUUGGGUGGAUUGAUGUAUACUCUUGUUAGACCUUUGUGGAAUAAUUAAUAAGAUGGUUGCAUGCGUCGAUUGAUGCAGAGGCCGGGGGUUUAAC